CACAGGGUAUUUGCCCGGUGGGCCUCGACGCAGUGUUUAAAAACUUUUUUUUUUUUCUAAGUUUGAGGCUCCAGACGCUCUUACCCCUCCUCCUGCUGCAGCCUGCAGCCGAUUUUCUGGAGGCAAACGUGCACCGCGUAGGCACGAUGUCUGCUUGUUCCUGGCGCACAGGAAGAAGUGGAGGCUGGCAAGCAGAUGGGAGUCGGCGCUCCUUAUCUGCCUCUGACCCCAACAUCCGCUGCAACAGAUUCCUGGCGGUGGUGGCGUAGCGGAUGCCCCGCAGCCCCCGCAGUGCGGGGGGGGUUCCUUCUAUGUAGGGACCCCCAGCAUUGCCCCCCUCCGAACUAAAAUGCCGGAACCCCCCGCCCCAGGCACCUCCCGCACCCCCGGCCUGCGCUGCUGUAGCACGGGCCUUUGCUUUGGCCUACCCAGGGCACUAGAACUUCCGUGCGGCUUAGCGAUGCCUCAGGCCAUGGAUCCCCGGGACCUGAUCACCCUGAACUCCCGGCGUAUGCAGAGGAUAAGGAUCUUCUGGCAAAGUGAGGAGCCAACGAUGUCCUGACGUCAUACUCUGCAGAGAAGAUGUAGCUGGAUGAAGUCCUGGUGUCUGGACCAACAGAGAAGACGUCACUCAGCUCAGCGAAGAAGGUGACUUCUGAGUAAUUCGCCUUCGCCCACUGAAGAAGUUCCUCGCUAGUUUCUGGCAGGUUUCCUUGAGUAACAAUCCAAUCCGGCAUAUCUGGAAAUAGGGGCCCAUUUCGGACAAGCUGUUUAUUAUUUGUGGUCGCAUCCUGUGUUUCUGUAGCACUUGGCUGCAAAAAUGUGACAGCGAAACCUCAACCGUAGAGAACACAUGAAGACCACACAGACACACACAAUGCUGGCAAAAGAAGAAGGUCCCUUAGCCAAAGUCCUCUACUCAGUAAGACACUUUCCAUUGGCAACCACAACGAGCUAGAACCCUUGUUAAUGGUAUUACGGGUCCCGAAAAGCAGCUCUCUUUUUAGACUUCAUUGGAAAGGCCCAUGCAUGUGGUGGGUAGAAAUAAUUUAAAGGGGUUCUCCACCAUAAGGUAAUGUCAGUACGUACCUGCCAGAGAGUAAUGGACAUGCUUAGGAAGGAUCCCCGCUUGUAUUUGGGCUAAAUGGCCAUGCUGUGAGAUUACCAAAACGCUGUGGCUUUCUUUUUGUGAACUGUAUACUUCCUGUUGGAGUUUUCUUAUACUACAAAUCCCAUAAUUCCACUUUUCUUCCUCC
Hyla sarda is the source of this 1256-nucleotide long non-coding RNA. RefSeq lists it as uncharacterized. NCBI's taxonomy places the organism in Eukaryota, Metazoa, Chordata, Amphibia, Anura, Hylidae. The transcript has 4 exons. The record is from RefSeq and is a predicted model, not a curated record.